UACGUAGGGGGCUAGCGUUGUUCGGAAUCACUGGGCGUAAAGCGCACGUAGGCGGAUGUGUCAGUCAGGGGUGAAAUCCCAGGGCUCAACCCUGGAACUGCCUUUGAUACUGUCGAUCUGGAGUAUGGAAGAGGUGAGUGGAAUUCCGAGUGUAGAGGUGAAAUUCGUAGAUAUUCGGAGGAACACCAGUGGCGAAGGCGGCUCACUGGUCCAUUACUGACGCUGAGGUGCGAAAGCGUGGGGAGCAAACAGG
This 253-nucleotide ribosomal RNA is filed under the name uncultured bacterium. RNAcentral's name for it is "partial 16S ribosomal RNA". It matches the Rfam family "Bacterial small subunit ribosomal RNA", at positions 524 to 776 of the family's 1533-position model. The record is from RNAcentral.